Molecule: long non-coding RNA, 7353 nt
Organism: Oncorhynchus keta (chum salmon)
Lineage: Eukaryota; Metazoa; Chordata; Actinopteri; Salmoniformes; Salmonidae
Exons: 3
Source: RefSeq, a predicted model, not a curated record
GAGAGAGAGAGAGAGAGAGAGAGAGAGAGAGAGAGAGAGAGAGAGAGAGAGAGAGAGAGAGAGAGAGAGAAAGAAAUAUGGCUGUUUUUCCUGUUUAACAAUCCCUACUCUAAACAAUUCCAGGAGGAAAGUGUGAGUCUCCAAGUUGGAUUUUGGACACAGAUUUAUGCCCCUAUCCCAGCCAGGGACAAUCACCCAACCAUCAUAUUCACUAAUAUGCUGCACCAAGUCAUAGAGAAAUGUGCAUUAUAAGUGUAAAGCCAAAUUCAAACCACUCAGACAUGUUCCAUACAUAACUGCAAUUACAAGAGCAUGUGUACAACUGGGGCAGAAUAUUUAAGUGUGAUCUGUAUGCUGAUUGGAAUACAUGCUAUUAUCUUAGAGGACAAUAAUAUACACAGAUGUUUGAUUUUAUGGUUACUGCAUAUAGUAUGUCCCCAAGGAAGCAUAUCUGAACUACAGGUAUUGGGAGGAAGACAAAAACCUCAACAGCUUCUUUGACCAAAAUGGAAACAUAUUGUUAAAAUGGUCUGUAAUAAGGAGAGCAAAUCUGUAUGGCAACACAUCCUGUCUGGACUUUACUUGGGCAGUGGCACACUAUCUCUGUGAUGUGUGUUAUGUAGUCUGGGAUUUAGGAGAAACCAAUUAGAAACUCAACGCAUACUUAUAGUUAACAUAAGUGUUGUUGAAUAUUAAAUAUAUACCGUUGAAGUGGGGAAGUUUACAUACACUUAGGUUGGAGUCAUUAAAACUUGUUUUUCAACCACUCCACACAUGUCUUGUUAACAAACUAUGGUUUUGGCAAGUUGGUUAGGACAUCUACUUUGUGCAUGAAACAAGUACUUUUUUCAACAAUUGUUUAUAGACAGAUUAUUUCACUUAUAAUUCACUGCAUCACAAUUCCAGUGGGUCAGAAGUUUACAUACACUAAGAUUACUGUGCCUUUAAACAGCUUGGAAAAUUCCCCAAAAUUAUGUCAUGGCUUUAGAAGCUUCUGAUAGGCUAAUUUACAUUAUUUGAGUCAAUUGGAGGUGAAACUGUGGAUGUAUUUCAAGGCCUACCUUCAAACUCAGUGCCUCUGCUUGACGUCAUGGGAAAAUCAGAAGAAAUCAGCCAAGACCCCAGAAUUUUUUUUAAAGGCAAUGCUACCAAAUACUAAUGGAGUAUGUCAACUUCUGACCCACUGGGAAUGUGAUGUAAUAAAUAAAAGCUUAAAUAAAUCAUUCUCUCUAUGAUUAUUCUAACAUUUCACAUUCUUAAAAUAAAGUGGUGAUCCUAACGGACCUAAAACAAGGAUUUUUUUUACUAGGAUUAAAUGUCAGGAAUUGUGAAAAACUGAGUUUAAAUGUAUUUGGUUAAGGUGUAUGUAAACUUCCGACUUCAACUGUAAUUACAUACAGAUAAAGGUAGGGUUGAAGCCGCCCUUCGUAAAACAUGUUUGUCAUGAAAAAAAUCACAUCAUCACAUAAAAGCAGGUCUGGUUGAGCAAGCAUAAAUUAAUAGCAUCUGGGGAUGUUACAGCAGUAUGAUGUUAUAGGAGUAGGAUGUUACAGCAGUAUGAUGUUAUAGGAGUAGGAUGUUAUAGGGCCAGGUGUUAUAGGAGUAGGAUGUUAUAGGGCCAGGUGUUAUAGGAGUAGGGUGUUAUAGGGCCAGGUGUUACAGCAGUAUGAUGUUAUAGGAGUAGGAUGUUAUAGGGCCAGGUGUUAUAGGAGUAGGAUGUUAUAGCAGUAUGAUGUUAUAGGAGUAGGAUGUUAUAGCAGUAUGAUGUUAUAGGAGUAGGAUGUUACAGCAGUAUGAUGUUAUAGGAGUAGGAUGUUAUAGCAGUAUGAUGUUAUAGGAGUAGGAUAUUAUAGCAGUAUGAUGUUAUAGCAGUAUGAUGUUAUAGGAGUAGGAUGUUAUAGCAGUAUGAUGUAAUAGGAGUAGGGUGUUAUAGGGCCAGGUGUUAUAGGGCCAGGUGUUAUAGGGCCAGGUGUUAUAGGAGUAGGGUGUUAUAGGGCCAGGCAUUAUAGGAGUAGGGUGUUAUAGGGCCAGGUGUUAUAGGAGUAGGGUGUUAUAGGAGUAGGGUGUUAUAGGGCCAGGUGUUAUAGGGAGUAGGGUGUUAUAGGAGUAGGAUGUUAUAGCAGUAUGAUGUAAUAGGAGUAUGAUGUUAUAGGGCCAGGUGUUAUAGGAGUAGGGUGUUAUAGGGCCAGGUGUUAUAGGGAGUAGGGUGUUAUAGGGCCAGGUGUUAUAGGAGUAGGGUGUUAUAGGGCCAGGUAUUAUAGGAGUAGGGUGUUAUAGGGCCAGGUGUUAUAGGGCCUGGUGUUAUAGGGCCAGGUGUUAUAGGAGUAGGGUGUUAUAGGGCCAGGUGUUAUAGGAGUAGGGUGUUAUAGGGCCAGGUAUUAUAGGAGUAGGGUGUUAUAGGACCAGGUGUAAUAGGAGUAGGGUGUUAUAGGACCAGGUGUUAUAGGGCCAGGUGUUAUAGGAGUAGGGUGUUCUAGGGCCAGGUAUUAUAGGAGUAGGGUGUUAUAGGGAGUAGGGUGUUAUAGGAGUAGGGUGUUAUAGGAGUAGGGUGUUAUAGGGCCAGGUGUUAUAGGAGUAGGGUGUUAUAGGGCCAGGUGUUAUAGGAGUAGGGUGUUAUAGGGCCAGGUGUUAUAGGAGUAGGGUGUUAUAGGAGUAGGGUGUUAUAGGAGUAGGAUGUUAUAGGGCCAGGUGUUAUAGGAGUAGGAUGUUAUAGGGCCAGGUGUUAUAGGGCCAGGUAUUAUAGGAGUAGGGUGUUAUAGGGCCAGGUGUUAUAGGACCAGGUGUUAUAGGGCCAGGUGUUAUAGGAGUAGGGUGUUAUAGGGCCAGGUGUUAUAGGGCCAGGUGUUAUAGGGAGUAGGGUGUUAUAGGGAGUAGGGUGUUAUAGGGCCAGGUAUUAUAGGAGUAGGGUGUUAUAGGGAGUAGGGUGUUAUAGGACCAGGUGUUAUAGGACCAGGUGUUAUAGGGCCAGGUGUUAUAGGAGUAGGGUGUUAUAGGGCCAGGUGUUAUAGGAGUAGGGUGUUCUAGGGCCAGGUGUUAUAGGGCCAGGUGUUAUAGGGCCAGGUGUUAUAGGGAGUAGGGUGUUAUAGGGAGUAGGGUGUUAUAGGGCCAGGUAUUAUAGGAGUAGGGUGUUAUAGGGCCAGGUGUUAUAGGAGUAGGGUGUUAUAGGGCCAGGUAUUAUAGGAGUAGGGUGUUAUAGGGCCAGGUGUUAUAGGAGUAGGGUGUUAUAGGGCCAGGUAUUAUAGGAGUAGGGUGUUAUAGGAGUAGGGUGUUAUAGGAGUAGGGUGUUAUAGGAGUAGGGUGUUAUAGGAGUAGGGUGUUAUAGGGCCAGGUGUUAUAGGAGUAGGGUGUUAUAGGGCCAGGUAUUAUAGGAGUAGGGUGUUAUAGGAGUAGGGUGUUAUAGGAGUAGGGUGUUAUAGGGCCAGGUAUUAUAGGAGUAGGGUGUUAUAGGAGUAGGGUGUUAUAGGGCCAGGUAUUAUAGGAGUAGGGUGUUAUAGGAGUAGGGUGUUAUAGGAGUAGGGUGUUAUAGGGCCAGGUAUUAUAGGAGUACGGUGUUAUAGGAGUAGGGUGUUAUAGGAGUAGGGUGUUAUAGGAGUAGGGUGUUAUAGGAGUAGGGUGUUAUAGGAGUAGGGUGUUAUAGGAGUAGGGUGUUAUAGGGCCACGUGUUAUAGGAAUACAUUUUACAGCAUUAGAUAUAAAUUUAUGGACUGAGUUUGAAAAUUAUUUUUAAAAUCUUUGGACAUUUUUUAGGAGCUGAAUGAAAGUACAUGAUGGAGUUACAAGAUGGAGAUCGAUAAAUACACAGAGACAUGUUCUAAUACGACAUAUAAUUCAGAUAUAUCAAUAUAAUUCAGUCCAUUUGUCAUCAACAAACUGUAUGUGGUCGACACAGGCCAUCCACAGAGCUGAGAAUCUACAACAGCCCAAACUUCUGGAUUUAGUAAACAGAGUCUGUUGCCGGGAGACUACUGGCCAUAGGCCAUCUUUUGUAUUGUAGUAUUUGGUGUAAUUUCCCUCCUCUGUCCCUUUAGUUUUGUAUGCUGGAGAUGUGAAAGGAAUGUGUUAAGUCUUUUUUUUAGCGGGCAUAUGGCACAACUAUUACAGUCUAGUUAGAGUUUGUGCCCAUAAGAUUCAGAGACACUUAUAAACAGGGUCUAUAUGAAUCAACAACAUGGUGUCACGUCACGAUAGAAACACACACACACACACACACACAGUAUAAACACACAGUACAAGUAGUAGUACACAGACAUCAUUACAAUGGCUUCAUCAUAUUUCUCCUUGUCUUUUCUUUGCGUAUACACUUGUUAGCAUACAGUUGAUGAGAAGGGUUUAGACACAUAGGUAGAUAGUUUUGUUAAGCUAUGUUUUUUCUUUGCAGAAAACAAACGUUAUCAUGUUUUUUUUGCAGUUGAAACAAUAUGGCUUUACCUAGUGAAAUCCCUAUCAGACUUUUUUUUUUAAAUUACAAAUAAUCUACUCAUAACCUAUGAUUAUUGAAAUGUUUUUGUUCAUUUUUCGAAUAUAUCAAUCUUCAAUGUCAUUUAGCCAUCUACGUUAUUAGAAAGAUAUGGGCAUUUCUUACAAUAAAACUUCACAGGAUUUGGUCUUUGGAAAGUGAAACCCAAAAUGACAGCAGUAUUCAUACAACUGUAUGUUGCCAGCCUAUUCCUACUGCUAUCAACAAGACCAAAUCUGGACCACUUCCUUAGUUCUGGACCACUUCCUUAGUUCUGGACCACUUCCUUAGUUCUGGACCACUUCCUUACUUCUGGACCACUUCCUUAGUUCUGGACCACUUCCUUACUUCUGGACCACUUCCUUACUUCUGGACUAAGGACCACUUCUUUACUUCUGGACUAAGGACCACUUCCUUAGUUCUGGACCACUUCCUUAGUUCUGGACCACUUCCUUACUUCUGGACCACUUCCUUAGUUCUGGACCACUUCCUUACUUCUGGACCACUUCCUUAGUUCUGGACCACUUCCUUACUUCUGGACCACUUCCUUAGUUCUGGACCACUUCCUUAGUUCUGGACCACUUCCUUAGUUCUGGACCACUUCCUUACUUCUGGACCACUUCCUUAGUUCUGGACCACUUCCUUACUUCUGGACCACUUCCUUAGUUCUGGACCACUUCCUUAGUUCUGGACCACUUCCUUACUUCUGGACCACUUCCUUACUUCUGGAAAGUUUCCUUAUUUACUAGUUACAAAAUAAAUUAUCGUUUUUUCCCCAGUAUCUUUGGAUUUGAUAUUAAUGAAUUUAAACAGUAAUUAGUUAAGCAUGUACUUUGUGUAAAACAGACAUGUGGUAGUAGUAGUGAAAUAAUGACAUAGGCAGUAUUGGCUUCCUUCAAUGUAAUGCAGUUCUGAUUAUUUCCUUGUCUUUGGCAUUAACCACCAACUGCUAAAUAUGAUGUUGACUAAAUCAUUUUUAUAGAACUGUGCUUGUUUUUCUUCUUCUCUACAUUGAAUAUGAAUCGUUUGUACAGUAUUCUAUGGAUAAUCUGAGUGUAUAAUGUUGAAUAUGAAUCGUGUGUACAGUAUUCUCUGGAUAAUCUGAGUGUAUAAUGUUGAAUAUGAAUUGUGUGUACAGUAUUCUCUGGAUAAUCUGAGUGUAUAAUGUUGAAUAUGAAUCGUGUGUACAGUAUUCUCUGGAUAAUCUGAGUGUAUAAUGUUGAAUAUGAAUUGUGUGUACAGUAUUCUCUGGAUAAUCUGAGUGUAUAAUGUUGAAUAUGAAUCGUGUGUACAGUAUUCUAUGGAUAAUCUGUGUAUAAUGUUGAAUAUGAAUCGUGUGUACAGUAUUCUCUGGAUAAUCUGAGUGUAUAAUGUUGAAUAUGAAUCGUGUGUACAGUAUUCUAUGGAUAAUCUGUGUAUAAUGUUGAAUAUGAAUCGUGUGUACAGUAUUCUAUGGAUCAUCUGAGUGUAUAAUGUUGAAUAUGAAUCGUGUGUACAGUAUUCUAUGGAUAAUCUGAGUGUAUAAUGUUGAAUAUGAAUCGUGUGUACAGUAUUCUAUGGAUAAUCUGAGUGUAUAAUGUUGAAUAUGAAUCGUGUGUACAGUAUUCUCUGGAUAAUCUGAGUGUAUAAUGUUGAAUAUGAAUCGUGUGUACAGUAUUCUAUGGAUAAUCUGAGUGUAUAAUGUUGAAUAUGAAUCGUGUGUACAGUAUUCUAUGGAUAAUCUGAGUGUAUAAUGUUGAAUAUGAAUCGUGUGUACAGUAUUCUCUGGAUAAUCUGAGUGUAUAAUGUUGAAUAUGAAUCGUGUGUAUUCUAUGGAUAAUCUGAGUGUAUAAUGUUGAAUAUGAAUCGUGUGUAUUCUCUGGAAAAUCUGAGUGUAUAAUGUUGAAUAUGAAUCGUGUGUAUUCUAUGGAUAAUCUGAGUGUAUAAUGUUGAAUAUGAAUCGUGUGUAUUCUCUGGAAAAUCUGAGUGUAUAAUGUUGAAUAUGAAUCGUGUGUAUUCUAUGGAUAAUCUGAGUGUAUAAUGUUGAAUAUGAAUCGUGUGUAUUCUAUGGAUAAUCUGAGUGUAUAAUGUUGAAUAUGAAUCGUGUGUAUUCUCUGGAUAAUCUGCAGUCUUGUCUGUCAGGCUGAUAAUUAGAGAUGUUUUAUAUUAGUCGGGUUUUAAAAAGGGAAAUCAAAUAUUCCAGAUUACCUUAGUGUUUCAUAUCAUAAGAGACCAGAUCUAUACAUAGAGUCAGACUAACAUUAAAUACGUACGUCAAUAAUGUGGCCGGUUUACUUCCUUUUAAGACGAACACCACAUUAUAAAGUUAAAUUACGUCGUCUAACGACUUCAACGAGACCCUCAUUAACAGUUCCCCUGUUGGAGGAAGGUCCUACGAAGACACAGUCUAAACUAACUAAACUGCUGAUCUCAAAAAGACCGAGAAUAGAAUAUCCCCUUCCCAUACAGUUACAGUAGCUUACUUACUAUAAAAAUAGAAAAAGCCAGUGAAUUUUAAAAAAAGCGCUCCAUCUUCAGAUACGUGUUGGCAGUGCUUUUCAACCACAUCAGCAGGAAUUGCCCAUUGAAGUGUCUGUCCAUUAGUACGGUGGAUUGAACCCUGCUCUCUAAUGAAUGGCUGGACAGAAACUCCUUACCCCAGUUAAUACCAAUGGCCAACCAAUCCAAAUGCAUCUACCUGGUGCGGUGGAUCGAUCUACCAAUGUUGGAAUGUCAGAUAAGUGGAUAAUUAUUUUUUAUAUAUACACUUAGUCGGUGGUUGAGAGACCGACCAAAAGCAGUGGGGCGGUAUAUACCCACAUUGUGUCUAGUCUAGAAAACAACAAAUAUUUCUGUAAAGGCAGUGAAUAGCCACCUCACACAGUUUGGCAAGAACCCUUCCACCUCUCCUACCCCCC